Molecule: long non-coding RNA, 4058 nt
Organism: Fukomys damarensis (Damara mole-rat)
Lineage: Eukaryota; Metazoa; Chordata; Mammalia; Rodentia; Bathyergidae
Exons: 9
Source: RefSeq, a predicted model, not a curated record
CCCACGGCGUUCUGACUCCUGCGCUCUCUGGACACUGCUGCCACGGGCUGGGGGCUUUCGGGGAGAUGUGAUUGUCCCUGAGGGAGGUCCACUUUGCUGGCAGUAAAGGCUGUCCGGCCUGAGUCGAACAUGGACCAGGAACAGCUGCCACCUCUACAGGCUCCGGUGUAGAAUGGUGGACAGUAAAGAUGGGAACCACUCCUGAGUUGAAAAUGCACAGUGCGCCAGGGUCUGUUGGUCCACGCUGGUGGCUGCUUGGUUGUGUCUGGUCUUGUCAACAAUUUCAUCAGGAAGUCUCCCACAUUUAUGAUGCUGAUACAAAGAGCCAUGCCAGUCAUAAAAGGGCUCUGAUGGGACAAGGGGAACCGAGGGAGAGAUGGCUGACUACAACUGGGCCGGAGCUUUGAAGGACAAACCGUGACGCCAAGGCUGACACGAUGGUGGAUGCCAGAGUCAGAGGGAAAGCAGAGCGAGGAGAAAGAGGACACUCAGGGGAGACAUCAGUGCAGUCUGGUGGUGUUAGGCCUCGGGCUGCCUCCAGGAUCUAGCUGUGCCUUGCAUUCAAGAUGCUGGCCUGUGGGGACAAGAACUGCAGGAGCAAAGAGCAUGUUUCCUGGGCACAGUGGGGUUGUAGAAAGGAAUAACUGGAGAAGGUUCAGAGUUGUGCUUAAGACUUCCAACGGCUAAGAUGCCCCUUGGACUUCGACUGGAGCUACUGAGAAGGGAGAUGCCAAACAGAACGGAGAAACUCAAGUGAGAGAGAGCCCUGGGACUCAGGCCCCAAGUGUGGCCAGUACUCAAGAACCUGUUUGCCUUUAAGCUAUUCCCUCGCACACCCUGGCUGAAACGGACAGUAACCAGAGCGAUGGCAGUCUGAAUCACUCCAUCUUCCAUGCUCAGGUAAAGUCCCUUGGAACAGGUGACAUUUGAGCUAAGAUCUGAAAUAUGGAAAGGAGAUGACAGGGGACAUUGUGAUUAAAAAAGAAAAAAAGCCCACAGACCACUUCGGUUAAGGAAGUAGUAAGUGCCAAGGCCCGGAUGUAGCAAAGACCUUGAGAUUUGUGAAUGAGGAUAAAGGUACAGGGUGGGGGUAUGAAUUAGGGGGAGAAGUUGAGGUCAUAGAAGUAGGCAAAGGCUGGAUUGUAUAGCAAUAAGGGGCAGGAAACUAUUUUUGUAGAGAGCCAGCUAGAAAAAACAUUUUAGGGUCUGGAGGCCCCUGUGUGUGUUCCAUAUCCUCAUUUCUGCCAGCACAGUGGGGAGGUACACAGACAAUAUGGCUGCAAGGACAGUGGAGGCCCAGAUUCAGUGUAUAGGUAGUAGCUGGCUAAGCUUUGGAGUAGGGUAAUUGAAUUAUAUAGUAAAGAACUUUGCAUUUUAUUCUAAGUGAAAAGUUGGGAGAUUUUGAACAGGCAGCAUCUUAGGGUCCCAUGUUGCUUGAGGAAGGUGUCUUGUAACAGAAUUUAUAAUGUAAAUGUUUUAUUUCUCCACUGUCUCCUUUCCUUAUUAUGAACUCUGUUUCAAGGUACCUUUUGAAACCUGAAGGAUAAGUCUUCGGUGGUUGCUUGUGCUGUUUUCUAGUUAUGUAACCUUAGGGAAAUUGCUUUAUAUAUCUCCGAGCCUCAGUUUCUGUCUUCAUAAAACUGCAGUAACACCUUUCUGAAGAGUUACUAAAUGGAUUAAAUGAGAUCAUGUAUAUAAAACAUCUGUCAUGCUACUUGGCAGAGUAAGGGCCCAAUGAUGUAAACUGCUUUUCUUUUCUUUUUUCUUUCCAUUCAGCCUAUAUUUUUCAUACUGCAGUUAAAGCAGAGGUAAAUGUGAAACUUAAUAAUCAGGUUCAAAACAUCAGUCUCUGAAGCACAGACUGAGAAACUGCUCAGCAUCACUAGGUGAUUUGGACAAUGCAAUUUUAAUUUGUAUGAACAGAAGCACAAUUUCUGAUUAUAAUAAUGGUAAAUACACUAGUAUUUCUGUGUUAUUCAAACCAUAUUCACAGUAAUAAUUCUGGGUAUUCAAACCAUAUUCAGAGUCCCAGGAAUAAUUCUGGGCAUACUAAGUAUAGUAUAUUCAAAGAAGAAUAACACGAUAUGAAGGGAGUUGGGAAACAUCACAUAUAAAGUGUACUGGAAAUGUUUAGCUUGGGAGGAAAACACUAAAAAACUUGAAAAGAGUACCAAUAAUUGAAGGGCUAUCUUUCAUUUGGAUAGAAAGAUAUUCACACCCUACUGGAAUAGACAUUUGCACUUUUGGACUUUUGGGUAGAAGAUACAGAGAUAAGAUUUUUCCACUACAGUUAAAAAUCUCCAUGAUAGCGGAAGUGACCUCCCAGUCAAUGCAGGCUUUUCAGAAAAGAUGGUCAAGUGUUCAACAGCUGAGAGAUCAUCCAAAGUAUUUCUACAGUGACAACACCCACAGAUCGAAAGCCUUCUCAUUGCACCUUCCUAAUCUCUGGUUCCAAUAAACAUGCAGGCUACGUUAAACAAUCCUCAGGAGAUCCAGGAGACCUUCUGGGGUACCAGGUAUGGAAUCCUUCUUUGGGAGUCUCUGGUAAAAUGAGGAAGGUGAGAUGUGUAGACUCAUGCAGGGUCAUGAGUUAGAUGUAAAUUGGAAUGCAGUAAAUUUCAUGUCACUGAAAAGUAGAGGAAGAUUACAAGAGAAAAAAAAGGCGGUCAGGAAGUUCUCACUAAACCAUUCUGAAACUGGUGACCAACUCCCCUAUUCCUGUGUAGCCUCCCGGAGGACCCUAUCAAUUGCAUUUUUUUGUAGGAUGAGAUAAGAAAAUGCAAAUGAGGAAAUGUAAGCUCCAGCGCAGUCUUUCUUGUUUAUUGCUUUAUUCUGAUUCGCAAAAGCAGGUCAACAAAUGUUUAGGGAGGGCAGGGGAUUUAACUCAGUGGUGCCGCCACCUGCCUCACAAGUGCAAGGACCUGAGUUUGAUCCCUGUACCCUCCCCUAAAAAAUGUUUAUGGAAAAAACGAGGAAGUAGAAAGAACGAGAGCAGAAAUAUCUUCAAGUGCAAUAUGGUAGCAGAGAAGAAUGGGAAUUAGAUUAAGUUCAAUAUAAAAUCCUGAAAAUUUAAGAAAUUUGUCUCACAGUGGUGUACCGAUAAUAAACACAUCACCCCAAAUUUAGUCUUGUUGUUUCAAACGAGUGCACAUUUGAGAUUGGCUGACUAUGUUGGAUUUGAUCUGAAAAAGGGUUAUCCUCCAGAACCCAGAGCAAACUAGUUCUAAUCUGUGAAGGAUGGAGAAGGAAUUAUCCCUCUUAGGGCACAGCAGAUGUUUUGGCUGCAAGAGUCCAUGGGUUGCCCAACGAAAAUGCACAAGAGAGGUGGUAUAAGAAAGGAUAAGAAGAAAUGAAUACGAAAGGUGAAGUAAAUAAGUUUUGGGUGGGGGAAUCAUAACACUUCCUUCAUGCCUUACCUAAUCUGACUCUAAUUUUGCCCACAAGAUAGCAUUACCAGUGGAAUAAAAAUCAUUUGCGUCCCAGAGUGAUAAGGAACUUGGGCAAGGAUUCAUGGUAGAAUGUUACUAUAGAAAGUCCCAACGAUGGAUUCUCUGGCCAUGCCAUCAGGUGGUGGGCAUGCUACGAAGGAGGUAUUAAUUAAGCACCUACCCUGUGCUAGCCACUGUUGAGAACUGAUUGAUAUGUGUCUUGUUUGCAGGCUUCCCUGCCAUGGUUUGACUGCCCUACAGCUAUGGUCACGGGCGGACCCAGCUUUUGUGAAGGCUGAAGCUUCUCCUACUUUUUAAAACAAAAAUUAUUUUGCGGGGGCUCUUUAAGAAAAAGAACAUAAUUUUGAAACAAUGAGAUUAAAUAUAAACCCCCAAGCUUGUCCUUUAGGAGUGUUGAAGUUCAGCCUCUAUGUUUGCUUCUUAGUAAAUCCGUUUCUGACUGUGGUGAUGGGUCACCCAGGAAUAUAAAAUGUGUCAUAGUGGUACCUUCGAGGUGUUCAUUUUGGAAAUCAGGGGAUGAGAAAGGAUAGGACAGGGUUAAAGUGGGAAUAUUAAGCACACAGCUCACAGUAGCCCAUGUGUUUUCACCAUAGGCCAAAAGACUGAUUU